This 468-nucleotide ribosomal RNA is filed under the name uncultured bacterium. Its description in RNAcentral is "partial 16S ribosomal RNA". It matches the Rfam family "Bacterial small subunit ribosomal RNA", at positions 28 to 507 of the family's 1533-position model. The record is from RNAcentral.
GACGAACGCUGGCGGCGUGCUUAACACAUGCAAGUCGAACGGAAAGGCCCUGCUUUUGUGGGGUGCUCGAGUGGCGAACGGGUGAGUAACACGUGAGUAACCUGCCCUUGACUUUGGGAUAACUUCAGGAAACUGGGGCUAAUACCGGAUAGGAGCUCCUGCUGCAUGGUGGGGGUUGGAAAGUUUCGGCGGUUGGGGAUGGACUCGCGGCUUAUCAGCUUGUUGGUGGGGUAGUGGCUUACCAAGGCUUUGACGGGUAGCCGGCCUGAGAGGGUGACCGGCCACAUUGGGACUGAGAUACGGCCCAGACUCCUACGGGAGGCAGCAGUGGGGAAUAUUGCACAAUGGGCGGAAGCCUGAUGCAGCAACGCCGCGUGCGGGAUGACGGCCUUCGGGUUGUAAACCGCUUUCGCCUGUGACGAAGCGUGAGUGACGGUAACGGGUAAAGAAGCACCGGCUAACUACGUA